UAGGGAAUAUUGGGCAAUGCUCGCAAGAGUGACCCAGCCAUGCCGCGUGCAGGAAGAAGGCCUUCUGGGUUGUAAACUGCUUUUGGAAGGGAACAAAAUGGGCAUGCGUGCCAACUUGAGUGUACCUUCAGAAUAAGCACCGGCUAACUCCGUGCCAGCAGCCGCGGUAAUACGGAGGGUGCAAGCGUUGUCCGGAUUUAUUGGGUUUAAAGGGUGCGUAGGCGGCUUAUUAAGUCAGGGGUGAAAGACUAUUGCUUAACAAUGGCAGUGCCUUUGAUACUGAUAGGCUUGAGUACAGCUGAGGCAGAUGGAACGGGUGGUGUAGCGGUGAAAUGCAUAGAUACCAUCCAGAACACCGAUUGCGAAGGCAGUCUGCUAAACUGUAACUGACGCUGAGGCACGAAAGCGUGGGGAUCGAACAGG
RNAcentral lists this ribosomal RNA (423 nucleotides) under uncultured bacterium. RNAcentral describes it as "bacterial SSU rRNA". It matches the Rfam family "Bacterial small subunit ribosomal RNA", at positions 355 to 776 of the family's 1533-position model. The record is from RNAcentral.